Molecule: ribosomal RNA, 596 nt
Filed under: uncultured bacterium
Lineage: Bacteria
Description: bacterial SSU rRNA
Rfam family: Bacterial small subunit ribosomal RNA
Source: RNAcentral
CCUACGGGAGGCAGCAGUGGGGAAUAUUGCACAAUGGGCGAAAGCCUGAUGCAGCGACGCCGCGUGAGGGAUGACGGCCUUCGGGUUGUAAACCUCUUUCAGCAGGGAAGAAGCGAAAGUGACGGUACCUGCAGAAGAAGCGCCGGCUAACUACGUGCCAGCAGCCGCGGUAAUACGUAGGGCGCAAGCGUUGUCCGGAAUUAUUGGGCGUAAAGAGCUUGUAGGUGGCUUGUCGCGUCUGCCGUGAAAACCCGAGGCUCAACCUCGGGCGUGCGGUGGGUACGGGCAGGCUAGAGUGUGGUAGGGGAGACUGGAACUCCUGGUGUAGCGGUGAAAUGCGCAGAUAUCAGGAAGAACACCGAUGGCGAAGGCAGGUCUCUGGGCCAUUACUGACACUGAGAAGCGAAAGCAUGGGGAGCGAACAGGAUUAGAUACCCUGGUAGUCCAUGCCGUAAACGUUGGGCACUAGAUGUGGGGAACAUUCCACGUUUUCCGCGUCGUAGCUAACGCAUUAAGUGCCCGCCUGGGGAGUACGGCCGCAAGGCUAAACUUAAAUUGAAUGACGGNUGNGNGNGCGAGCGACGACGAGGAGGAGG